This 459-nucleotide ribosomal RNA is filed under the name uncultured bacterium. RNAcentral's name for it is "partial 16S ribosomal RNA". It matches the Rfam family "Bacterial small subunit ribosomal RNA", at positions 29 to 507 of the family's 1533-position model. The record is from RNAcentral.
AACGAACGCUGGCGGCAGGCCUAACACAUGCAAGUAGAGCGAGGAGUUCAGUCCUAGCGGCGGUCGACUGUGGAACGUGUGGGAACGAGCCCUUUGUUACGGAAUAGUAAUGGGACACGGAGAGUAAUACCAGAUGAGCACACGGGGGGUAAGAUUGAACGAUGAAGGUUCUUCCCGCGUUGGUUUAAGUAGUUGGUGAGGUAACGGCCCACCUAGGCGACGAUCCUUAGCUGACUUGUGAGGGUGAUAAGCCACACUGUGAGUGAGACACGGCCCAGACUACUACGGGAGGCAGCAGUAGGGAAGCUUCGGCAAGGGGCGAAAGUCUGACCGAGCAACGCCGCGUGAGUGAAGAAGGUGUUCGGAUCGUAAAGCUCUGUUGUAAGAGAAGAACGGGUGUGAGAGUGGAAAGUUCACACUGUGACGGUAUCUGACCAGAAAGGGACGGCUAACUACGUG